GCGGGAGUGGCGGAACUGGUAGACGCGCAGGACUUAGGAUCCUGUGCCUUCGGCGUAGGGGUUCAAGUCCCCUCUCCCGCACCA
RNAcentral lists this transfer RNA (84 nucleotides) under Synergistaceae bacterium. RNAcentral describes it as "tRNA-Leu". It matches the Rfam family "tRNA". Rfam says of the family: Transfer RNA (tRNA) molecules are approximately 80 nucleotides in length. Their secondary structure includes four short double-helical elements and three loops (D, anti-codon, and T loops). The record is from RNAcentral. Lineage: Bacteria; Thermotogati; Synergistota; Synergistia; Synergistales; Synergistaceae.